GGGCCAGGGCUACACACGUGCUACAAUGGUCGGUACAAAGGGGUUGCCAAGCCGCGAGGUGGAGCUAAUCCCAUAAAACCGAUCGUAGUCCGGAUCGCAGUCUGCAACUCGACUGCGUGAAGUCGGAAUCGCUAGUAAUCGUGAAUCAGAAUGUCACGGUGAAUACGUUCCCGGGCCUU
RNAcentral lists this ribosomal RNA (179 nucleotides) under uncultured Pseudomonas sp. Its description in RNAcentral is "partial 16S ribosomal RNA". It matches the Rfam family "Bacterial small subunit ribosomal RNA", at positions 1205 to 1382 of the family's 1533-position model. Lineage: Bacteria; Pseudomonadati; Pseudomonadota; Gammaproteobacteria; Pseudomonadales; Pseudomonadaceae. The record is from RNAcentral.